GAUGAACGCUAGCUACAGGCUUAACACAUGCAAGUCGAGGGGCAGCAUGGUCUUAGCUUGCUAAGGCCGAUGGCGACCGGCGCACGGGUGAGUAACGCGUAUCCAACCUGCCUUACACUCUUGGACAGCCUUCUGAAAGGGAGAUUAAUACAAGAUGUUAUCAUGAGUAAGCAUUUUCGCAUGAUUAAAGGUUUACCGGUGUAAGAUGGGGAUGCGUUCCAUUAGAUAGUAGGCGGGGUAACGGCCCACCUAGUCUUCGAUGGAUAGGGGUUCUGAGAGGAAGGUCCCCCACAUUGGAACUGAGACACGGUCCAAACUCCUACGGGAGGCAGCAGUGAGGAAUAUUGGUCAAUGGACGAGAGUCUGAACCAGCCAAGUAGCGUGAAGGAUGAAGGUUCUAUGGAUUGUAAACUUCUUUUAUACGGGAAUAAACGAAUCCACGCGUGGAUUUUUGCAUGUACCGUAUGAAUAAGGAUCGGCUAACUCCGUGCCAGCAGCCGCGGUAAUACGGAGGAUCCGAGCGUUAUCCGGAUUUAUUGGGUUUAAAGGGAGCGUAGAUGGGUUGUUAAGUCAGUUGUGAAAGUUUGCGGCUCAACCGUAAAAUUGCAAUUGAUACUGGCAGUCUUGAGUACAGUUGAGGUAGGCGGAAUUCGUGGUGUAGCGGUGAAAUGCUUAGAUAUCACGAAGAACUCCGAUUGCGAAGGCAGCUUACUAACCUGUAACUGACAUUGAUGCUCGAAAGUGUGGGUAUCAAACAGGAUUAGAUACCCUGGUAGUCCACACGGUAAACGAUGAAUACUCGCUGUAGGCGAUAUACAGUCUGCGGCCAAGCGAAAGCAUUAAGUAUUCCACCUGGGGAGUACGCCGGCAACGGUGAAACUCAAAGGAAUUGACGGGGGCCCGCACAAGCGGAGGAACAUGUGGUUUAAUUCGAUGAUACGCGAGGAACCUUACCCGGGCUUAAAUUGCAACCGAAUAUGGCGGAAACGCUAUAGCUAGCAAUAGCGGUUGUGAAGGUGCUGCAUGGUUGUCGUCAGCUCGUGCCGUGAGGUGUCGGCUUAAGUGCCAUAACGAGCGCAACCCUUGCCGAUAGUUACUAACAGGUUAUGCUGAGGACUCUGUCGGGACUGCCAUCGUAAGAUGUGAGGAAGGUGGGGAUGACGUCAAAUCAGCACGGCCCUUACGUCCGGGGCUACACACGUGUUACAAUGGGGGGUACAGAGGGCUGCUACCACGCAAGUGGAUGCCAAUCCCAAAAACCUCUCUCAGUUCGGAUUGAAGUCUGCAACCCGACUUCAUGAAGCUGGAUUCGCUAGUAAUCGCGCAUCAGCCACGGCGCGGUGAAUACGUUCCCGGGCCUUGUACACACCGCCCGUCAAGCCAUGGGAGCCGGGGGUACCUGAAGUGCGUAACCGCAAGGAGCGCCCUAGGGUAAAAC
RNAcentral lists this ribosomal RNA (1438 nucleotides) under uncultured organism. RNAcentral's name for it is "16S ribosomal RNA". It matches the Rfam family "Bacterial small subunit ribosomal RNA". The record is from RNAcentral.